This 485-nucleotide ribosomal RNA is filed under the name uncultured bacterium. RNAcentral describes it as "bacterial SSU rRNA". It matches the Rfam family "Bacterial small subunit ribosomal RNA", at positions 9 to 490 of the family's 1533-position model. The record is from RNAcentral.
GAGUUUGAUCCUGGCUCAGGAUGAACGCUAGCGGCAGGCCUAACACAUGCAAGUCGAGGGGUAACAGGAAAGCUUGCUUUCGCUGACGACCGGCGCACGGGUGCGUAACGCGUAUGCAACCUACCUCAUACUGGAGAAUAGCCCCUGGAAACGGGGAUUAAUACUCCAUGGUAUCAUUCUUUCGCAUGUUAGAAUGAUUAAAGAAUUUCGGUAUGAGAUGGGCAUGCGUCCCAUUAGCUAGUUGGUGAGGUAACGGCUCACCAAGGCGACGAUGGGUAGGGGGCCUGAGAGGGUGGUCCCCCACACUGGUACUGAGACACGGACCAGACUCCUACGGGAGGCAGCAGUGAGGAAUAUUGGUCAAUGGAGGCAACUCUGAACCAGCCAUGCCGCGUGAAGGAUGACGGCCCUAUGGGUUGUAAACUUCUUUUGAAUAGGAAGAAACUUAUCUACGUGUAGAUAACUGACGGUACUAUUAGAAUAAG